This is a long non-coding RNA of Astyanax mexicanus (Mexican tetra), 1046 nucleotides long. RefSeq lists it as uncharacterized. The record is from RefSeq and is a predicted model, not a curated record. The transcript has 2 exons. Lineage: Eukaryota; Metazoa; Chordata; Actinopteri; Characiformes; Acestrorhamphidae.
AUGUUUUAAAAAUGGAUAUUUAUAUUUAAAUAAAAUAAUCCAUUUUGGAUUAAAUUCAUUUGUUUCUAUAAAUAUUUUACACCAUAUAUUUGAAAUCUUAUUUGACAAAGUUCCACAAAACUCAUGUGUGUUCAUCUAACUAAUAGUGAAGUAAAUGCAUGUUUAAAAUGUUGCUUUCAACAUAUUUUAAAGAACAUCAGAAGUAUUGUUAGUUCAUUACACUGUAUCUGAUUCCAUGGUUUAGAAACAGAUUUCUUGUAUUCUACAGUGAUUAUCAGCUUAUCAAUUACUUUCUGUGUUAACUGAAAGUCAAUUAAAGGAAUGUGACAAAAGUCAUGGGAUAGCAGUUUGUAAAUGAAUGAUGAAAUGUUAAAUCAGGGGAUGGCUUGGGGUACACCCACACCUGUGUAGGUUGUGAUGUUUGUUGUGAUCUUGUGAAUGAUGCUGAACACUGAGCUGUGUGUUUAUGAAUGAUCAGAGUUAAUGCGAGGUCUGAUAGUGGAUAAAAGUGAGAUAGAUGGGACUUUAUUUUGAAGACAUUUUUCAGGCUUUUAAAUUCCUCAAUCCAUAGCAUCACUUGGAGUUGUACUGGGAAUACUUCCAAAAUAGGCAUUACCACCCACAGUGGACAGAGCAGUUGGUUGUAAUGAUCUUGGUUGGCGAUGUCUGAUGUCUAGGACUGUUCAUGCAUUCAGACAAGAGACAACCAUACACAGUUAAUGCAGGAGACCACACACACACACACACACAUCCUGCACAUCAGUGUAGUGUUCCUUUGCCUCCACUGGACAUGGUUAAAUGACAUGAUACUAGCUCUGGUUUAAUGACUUCUGGCACGUUAAUGUAUAUACUGCUAGUGUUUGUAAUCUACUAAUCCAUGUACUACACACAUGUAUCAGUAUCAUAAUGCUAUUGAAAUUUUAUCUUUGUUUGAAAUAAGUUUUUUUAAUAUAUGUUCUUGUGUUGCUAAUAAAUAUAUGAUAAACCAUGAAGUGCAAUGAGCAUUUGUUACAGACAAAUAAAUAGAAUAUCUGUGUGUUAAUGAA